Molecule: long non-coding RNA, 656 nt
Organism: Oncorhynchus masou masou (cherry salmon)
Lineage: Eukaryota; Metazoa; Chordata; Actinopteri; Salmoniformes; Salmonidae
Exons: 2
Source: RefSeq, a predicted model, not a curated record
AGUCCAGACAGACAGAAGUACCCGCUUGAGAGAGAAAUUUGCAGAAGAAUAAGCAAUAACUUUGCAAAAUGUAUAAUGAUUAUUUAUUUACUAUAUUAUGUUCAAAUGUUAAACAAUUUACUUUCAUAUGAAUUUUGAAUUAAAAUGUUGAUUAACUGUUGUUUAUCAGCCCAUUGCUAAUUAAGCUAGCUAACACUUCGGACGCAAUAGCUAGCUAAUGCUAGUAGGCAACCUCGUCCUGCUUAUCGGGUGUUUAGAGAUCAACAACUCAACUAACAUGGCCUUGUUGUAGAUUCAGUAAUGCAUCAGUUGUGAAGACCCGGACAGUUUUAAAAUCAUGAAUUGGUGAACAUGCUAGCCAGCUAAAUACAUUUCCCCCAUUUGUUUCCUGAUCGCGUUUCACUCCAUUGCAUUGGCUUGCAGGAGAAAACAGUCGUGCCCGUCUUGUUUGCAGGACACCUGACCCUGUCACCCUGCAGAUGUAAGGAACUUGUUGUGAACCUCCCAGCCACCAGGGAUGAUCCCCAUAUCCAAGGAUGUUAUUAAGGACUGUGCAAUAUCACAAUGUUAGAAAUGGAUUCACCAGUUAUUGUUUAUCAUGCAGAUUUGUCUGAACAUUGUAAUUUAUGAAAGUCAUUAUUAAAUACAGACAUGAA